AUAUCUUUCCCUUAAUACCGAAGAGUUUGGCAAGUCUAGCUUAUCUCAUCAAUUUUGAUGUUUCACACAAAAAUUUGUCUAGAGAAGUGUCUAAGGCAAGUCUAGCUUAUCUCAUCAAUUUUGAUGUUUCACACAACAAUUUGUCUAGAGAAGUGUCUAAGUUGUUGCUCAAGCAAGAGUGAACGUGGAUGAUAAUCCUAGACUCAUUAGGACUGCUCCAACACCACCACAAGCACAACCAUCUCCACAUUUACCUCCGCACACCAUUGUUGAUGAGAGUUCGCCAUUGCCCACAAUCGUAAUUAUAGGCCUUAUGAUGAGAUGUAUUUUGUGUGUGGCUGCCUCAUUUGGUGUGGUCUACUUCACGUUAAAAAGGAAGCUAGAGAACUCCAAUGGUCCAAUAAUUAGAUUUGGUGGUGGAGGAGCUAUCCAAUAUUCUCUGUAAGUGUUGACCGACGUAAUUGAUACUUUCAACUCCGAUAAUCUGUUAGGGACAUGUGACUUGUCUUCAGUAUUUAAAGGCAGAUUGGAGGAUGGAAGUACAAUGUUUGUGAAGAAGGUGCAGAAGAAUAAACAUGGUAUGUUGGACGCCGCUAGGGCUUUGAAAGCCUUUAAAUAUGUGAUUGUAGUGUUCAAUGAAACGAAACAUACAAUUGUGGUUGCGCUACUUGGAUAUUACGAAGAUGAUGAGCAACAUCUCAUGCUUGUAUAUGAGUAUAUGUCUCAAGGGACACUUGCUGAUCAUUUAUUUAAAAAGACAAAUGAAGGCGGCCAACUUUUCGAUUAGGGCAGGAGGCUUAAGUUUACACAAGAUAUUGCAAGAGCGGUUAAACACAUCCACACAUUCGCUAUUCACAAAGUUGUACAUAGAGACUUGAAGCCCACCAAUAUUUUGCUUGGUGAUGAUUUAUUGCCAAAGUUGCCAACUUUGGUUUUGUUCAUAUCUUUCCCUUAAUACCGAAGAGCUUGGCAAGUCUAGCUUAUCUCAUCAAUUUUGAUGUUUUACACAACAAUUUGUCUGGAGAAGUGCCUAAGUUUGCUGCUUAAAUAAGGUGAACGUGGAUGAUAAUCCUAGACUCAUUAGGAUUGCUCCAACAACACCACAAGCACAACCAUCUCCACAUUUACCUCUGCACACCGUUGUUGAUGAGACUUCGUCAUUGUCCACAAUUGUAAUUAUUGGGAUUAUAUUGAGAUGUAUUUUGUGUGUGGCUGCCUCAUUUGGUGUGGUUUACUUCGUGUUAAAAAAUAAGCUAGAGAACUCCAUUGGUCCAGUAAUUAGAUUUGGUGGUGGAGGAGCUAUCCAAUAUUCUCUGCAAGUGUUGACCGACGUAAUUGAUAAUUUCAACUCUGAUAAUCUGUUAGGGAUAUGUGGCUUGUCUUCAGUAUUUAAAGGCAGAUUGGAGGAUGAGAGUACAAUGUUUGUAAAAAAGUUGUAAAAGAACAAACAUGGUAAAUUGGACGCCGCUAGGGCUUUGAAAGCCUUUAAAUAUGUGAUUGUAGUGCUCAAUGAAAUGAAACAUACAAAUGUGGUUGCGCUACUUUGAUAUUACGAAGAUGAUAAGCUGACCACAUGCUUGUAUAUGAGUAUAUGUUUCAAGGGACACUUGCUGAUCAUUUAUUUAAAUGGAGAGAUGAAGGAGACCGACUUUUCAAUUGGGGUAGGAGGCUUAAGAUUGCACAAGAUAUUGCAAUAUUACAAGAGCAGUUGAACACAUCCACACAUUCGCUAUUCACAAAGUUGUCCGUAGAGACUUGAAGCCCUCCAAUAUUUUGCUUGAAGAUGAUUUAUUGCCAAAGUUGCCAACUUUGGUUUUGUUCAUAUAUUUCCCUUAAUACCAAAGAGCUUGGCAAGUCUAGCUUAUCUCAUCAAUUUGGAUGUUUCACACAACAAUUUGUAUGAAGAAGUGCCUAAGUUUGCUGCUCAAGUAAGGUGAACGUGGAUGAUAAUCCUAGACUCAUUUGGACUGCUCUAACACCACCACAAGCACAAUCAUCUCCACAUUUACCUCCGCACACCGUUGUUGAUGAGAGUUCGCCAUUGCCCACAAUCGUAAUUAUUGGCCUUAUGUUGGGAUGAAUUUUGUGUGUGGCUGCCUCAUUUGGUGUGGUCUACUUCAUGUUUAAAAGGAAGCUAGAGAACUCCAAUGGUCCAGGAAUUAGAUUUGUUGGUGGAGGAGCUAUCUAAUAUUCUCUGCAAGUGUUGAUGGACGCAACUGAUAAUUUCAACUCUGAUAAUCUGUUAGGGACAUGUGACUUCUCUUCAGUAUUUAAAGGCAGAUUGGAGGAUUGGAGUACAAUGUCUGUGAAGAAGGUGCAGAAGAACAAACAUGGUAAGUUAGACGUCGCUAGGGCUUUGAAAGCCUGUAAAUAUGUGAUUGUAGUACUCAAUGAAACGAAACAUACAAUUGUGGUUGCGCUACUUAGAUAUUACGAAGAUGAUGAGCAACAC
Molecule: long non-coding RNA, 2452 nt
Filed under: Fragaria vesca (wild strawberry)
Lineage: Eukaryota; Viridiplantae; Streptophyta; Magnoliopsida; Rosales; Rosaceae
Description: long non-coding RNA (FVES_LNC001566)
Source: RNAcentral